GAUGAACGCUAGCGGCAGGCCUAACACAUGCAAGUCGAGGGGUAGACAUCUUCGGAUGUUGAGACCGGCGCACGGGUGCGUAACGCGUAUGCAAUCUACCUUAUACUAAGGGAUAGCCCAGAGAAAUUUGGAUUAAUACCUUAUGGUUAAUAAAGCCGGCAUCGGUUUAAUUAUAAAGAUUUAUUGGUAUAAGAUGAGCAUGCGUCCCAUUAGUUAGUUGGUAAGGUAACGGCUUACCAAGACGAUGAUGGGUAGGGGUCCUGAGAGGGAGAUCCCCCACACUGGUACUGAGACACGGACCAGACUCCUACGGGAGGCAGCAGUAAGGAAUAUUGGUCAAUGGACGGAAGUCUGAACCAGCCAUGCCGCGUGCAGGAUGAAGCAUCUAUGGUGUGUAAACUGCUUUUGUACGGGAAGAAAAAAAGCUACGUGUAGUUUACUGACGGUACCGUAAGAAUAAGGAUCGGCUAACUCCGUGCCAGCCGCCGCAGUAA
RNAcentral lists this ribosomal RNA (494 nucleotides) under uncultured bacterium. Its description in RNAcentral is "partial 16S ribosomal RNA". It matches the Rfam family "Bacterial small subunit ribosomal RNA", at positions 28 to 523 of the family's 1533-position model. The record is from RNAcentral.